UGUGUAGGAUAGGUGGGAGGCUUUGAAGUGUGGACGCCAGUCUGCAUGGAGCCGACCUUGAAAUACCACCCUUUAAUGUUUGAUGUUCUAACGUUGACCCGUGAUCCGGGUUGCGGACAGUGUCUGGUGGGUAGUUUGACUGGGGCGGUCUCCUCCUAAAGAGUAACGGAGGAGCACGAAGGUUGGCUAAUCCUGGUCGGACAUCAGGAGGUUAGUGCAAUGGCAUAAGCCAGCUUGACUGCGAGCGUGACGGCGCGAGCAGGUGCGAAAGCAGGUCAUAGUGAUCCGGUGGUUCUGAAUGGAAGGGCCAUCGCUCAACGGAUAAAAGGUACUCCGGGGAUAACAGGCUGAUACCGCCCAAGAGUUCAUAUCGACGGCGGUGUUUGGCACCUCGAUGUCGGCUCAUCACAUCCUGGGGCUGAAGUAGGUCCCAAGGGUAUGGCUGUUCGCCAUUUAAAGUGGUACGCGAGCUGGGUUUAGAACGUCGUGAGACAGUUCGGUCCCUA
RNAcentral lists this ribosomal RNA (506 nucleotides) under Escherichia coli. Its description in RNAcentral is "partial 23S ribosomal RNA". It matches the Rfam family "Bacterial large subunit ribosomal RNA", at positions 2135 to 2640 of the family's 2925-position model. The record is from RNAcentral. Lineage: Bacteria; Pseudomonadati; Pseudomonadota; Gammaproteobacteria; Enterobacterales; Enterobacteriaceae.